This is a long non-coding RNA of Oreochromis aureus, 1408 nucleotides long. The record is from Ensembl. Lineage: Eukaryota; Metazoa; Chordata; Actinopteri; Cichliformes; Cichlidae.
CUGUGCUCUCCUUCUGUGUCUUGUUCCCUCGUUAUCCCUCUGUGUAUUUAAGCCCUGUGUUUCUCUUUGUCAGUGUCGUAGUCCCCCUCAUGGCUGUGUUUCCAUGUGUGUUAGUUAUCCAUGUCCCAGUUUAGUUUUGUUAUAUUUUUUGUGCCAUCCUGCAAUAAAGCAGCUUUUUGAGUUUAAUUCCUACGUGGUGAGUUUUACGUUUGGGUCCUUCUCCUGCCUGCACACAGCCGAAACAUGACACCAGCAUGUUGAGAUUGACACCAAAGGGGUCACUGUACGAGAUGGACAGACAGAAAGACAUCUCACUGGAAAGGAUCUCGUCACUGCUGGAAGUUAAAAGUCAGUGGUUUAUGAGGAGGUACAACAAGUUCCACCUACAAAACUAAAGAUUUAAAAACCAGGAGAUCAAUGUUACUAAUGGCAAUGCCAGUGACUAUAGCAUUGCCUCUCCUCUCAUGAUGAACUGCUGGCUCACAUCUGCUGACUCUGCCUUGCAGAGACCACUGGCCGAUUUCGUUGUUCCACAACUUUAACUGGAAACUGUGAGAAAAUAUUUCAUUUGAGAAGAGACUACGGAAAAUACUUGCAACACCUGUUUCCAGCAUGAACAAAUAAACAUAUCUUGGAUUGUUUAAUAACUCACAAAUUUUAUUUUACUGAAAAAACUGUAUAAAGUCAGAAUAAUACAUCCAACUGUGUGAAUUUCAUUAAAAAUAAAGAUGAACAAAAAUGACCCAAAAUACACACAGUUGACCGUUAUAAUAAUAGUACACCUUGUACCUAAAUACAAUCUACAAGUUAAAAUCUUGUCAGUUUAAACUGAUUUGUCUAAAUGAAAACCAUUUGGAGUCUCUGUUAAGCACCACAUCAUUAGCAAAGAAAAUACUUAGAAAUGUAAAAUUACUAGAAUUCUCCUUUAGAAAGGUUCCAUAUUUGUAUAUUGUCAUUGUUUUACUAUUUUCUCUUAUGCAGUAGUUUUCUUUGUGCUUUGUAACAUCUGUGUUUAAAUCUAUUCCUUAUAAUGACAACUAGACAUGUGAUUGCUUUUGCUUUCUGAAUCAUCUGUUUUCUCAGCACCUUCCUGACCUCAUCAGUCUUAAAAAUAGAUUAAUUUUUGUUUGACAUAUACUUUAUAACAGCCACAUACUAGUUUCACAAUUAGUGCUAAGAUCUGCGACUUUAAUUUCUCAAAACAUUGUUCCAUGUUACAAAUUGGUGGAAACUGUUAGAUUUUACAUAAAUUGGUGCUGUGGGGAGUGUUUUAUGUAAGUGGGUGUUUGUUAUGUUUGGUGGUGAUAGAGGAGAGAAAUGAAAGAUUUUCCUUUUGAAAAAAUGUGUACAUAGUAAUACUGUAGUUUUGAGUUCAAACAGCAGUUUCCACUGCCUUGCACUAGUAGGA